ACAGAGGCCUCGAGCGUUAGGCGGAAUCACUGGGCUUAAAGCGUGUGUAGGCGGACUUCUAAGUACCUUGUGAAAUCCCACGGCUCACCCGUGGAACUGCUUGGUAUACUGGUUGUCUUGAGCCUUCUAGGGGCGAGUGGAACAAAUGGUGGAGCGGUGAAAUGCGUAGAUAUCAUUUGGAACGCCAAUGGUGAAAACAACUCGCUGGGGAAGUGCUGACGCUGAGACACGAAAGCCAGGGGAGCGAACGGGA
RNAcentral lists this ribosomal RNA (253 nucleotides) under uncultured prokaryote. Its description in RNAcentral is "partial 16S ribosomal RNA". It matches the Rfam family "Bacterial small subunit ribosomal RNA", at positions 525 to 777 of the family's 1533-position model. The record is from RNAcentral.